AUGGCCUCCAAACAGGCUGUGCAUAUGAAGCAUGGCCAAGGCGAAACAAGCUAUGCUCGCAACUCCAGUUUUCAGAGAGCUGAGCAGAACAGGAUGAAGCCCCUGAUAGAAGUGGUCAUCACCGACUUAUGCAGCAGCACUAGUACCUUGUUGCACGGAAAAAUAGUGAUCGCGGACUUGGGAUGCUCCUGUGGUCCAAAUGCUCUAGCACUGGUAUCGACUGCCAUCAAUGCCAUCCACAACCAUUGCCUUCAGAUACAGCAGCCACCACCGGAAAUAUAUGUGCUACUCAAUGACCUUCCUGACACCGACUUCAACACGGUGGUGAAGAGCUUGGUCACACUCCGUCAAAGCAAGAACCCUGUUGUCGUGACUGGUGUUGCACCGGGAUCAUUUUACGAGCGGCUCUUCACUAGUAACUCACUGCAUGUUGUUUGCGCGUCGAACAGCUUGCAAUGGCUAUCAAAGGCUCCCGAAGUUCUAACGAGAAACCGCAUCCCAGCUUUCGACAUUGAUGAGCAUGCUAGGCGUGAAAUGCUCCCAAUGGUCCGUGAGGCUUAUGAACAACAAUUUAGGAAAGAUUUCAAGCUUUUCCUCGAGCUGAGAGCCAAAGAGUUGGUCUCAGGAGGCCGAAUGGUUAUUUCCCUGGUAGGGACGCGUUCUGAUGUAAUCGCCUCCAAAUUCUCUCUUUUCCCGGGAAUUGUAGCUCAGAUUCUAAGUGUAAUGGUCGCGGAGGGUGUGAUCGACAAAGCAAAAUUUGAUUCUUUCUAUGUGCCGCUCCAUGGAUCUUCCAUCGAAGAGGCAAGGGAGAUCAUCAAAGAAGAGGGGUCCUUUUCGAUCAAGAAGAUGCGUGUCCAUGACCCUACGGCUGAAAUGAACAUUGCUCUAAGCAGCCCAAGCAAGUUUGUGAAUAAUCUGAUAGCCUUAUUUGAGCCGAUAAUAGUCCAGCAUUUUGGAGAGGUUAUGGAUGAAUUUGUGAGGGCGGCAGAGCUGCACUGUAGUCUGGAUGUGGAUGGGUGCUUGCGAGAGGAGCGGGCAAGAACCUCUCGAGCUAUGCUGGUUGUAUCGCUCGCAAAGGCAUGA
Molecule: ribosomal RNA, 1083 nt
Filed under: Triticum aestivum (bread wheat)
Lineage: Eukaryota; Viridiplantae; Streptophyta; Magnoliopsida; Poales; Poaceae
Description: partial small subunit ribosomal RNA
Source: RNAcentral